AGCAACUUGGCGCAGGGGAAGCGCGCCGGGCUCAUAACCCGGAGGUCCUUGGAUCGAAACCAAGAGUUGCUA
Molecule: transfer RNA, 72 nt
Organism: Gaeumannomyces graminis
Lineage: Eukaryota; Fungi; Ascomycota; Sordariomycetes; Magnaporthales; Magnaporthaceae
Rfam family: tRNA
About the family: Transfer RNA (tRNA) molecules are approximately 80 nucleotides in length.
Source: Rfam